CGUGUGAAAAACUCCGGUGGUNUAAGAUGGACCCGCGUCUGAUUAGCUUGUUGGCGGGGUAGGGGCCCACCAAGGCGACGAUCAGUAGCCGGCCUGAGAGGGUGGACGGCCACAUUGGGACUGAGACACGGCCCAAACUCCUACGGAAGGCAGCAG
Molecule: ribosomal RNA, 156 nt
Filed under: uncultured bacterium
Lineage: Bacteria
Description: partial 16S ribosomal RNA
Rfam family: Bacterial small subunit ribosomal RNA
Source: RNAcentral